GGGACAUCUGAAGACGGUGCCGACCAUCAGGGCCGAGUUGCGACGAGAGAGUGUGUCGAUGUUAAGAUAUUAAGCCGAGUUGGCCAGGUCCCUAAAUCUUGGAUGGCGAGCUGUAGAUAGGCCUUGAGCCCGAGCCCAAGGAUCUCCACCUCU
This is a long non-coding RNA of Entelurus aequoreus (snake pipefish), 153 nucleotides long. RefSeq lists it as uncharacterized. Lineage: Eukaryota; Metazoa; Chordata; Actinopteri; Syngnathiformes; Syngnathidae. The transcript is spliced from 3 exons. The record is from RefSeq and is a predicted model, not a curated record.